This 110-nucleotide ribosomal RNA is filed under the name Escherichia coli. The record is from RNAcentral. RNAcentral also lists the same sequence under 17 other names. Lineage: Bacteria; Pseudomonadati; Pseudomonadota; Gammaproteobacteria; Enterobacterales; Enterobacteriaceae.
GGCAGUAGCGCGGUGGUCCCACCUGACCCCAUGCCGAACUCAGAAGUGAAACGCCGUAGCGCCGAUGGUAGUGUGGGGUCUCCCCAUGCGAGAGUAGGGAACUGCCAGGC